Molecule: transfer RNA, 66 nt
Filed under: Antheraea yamamai (Japanese oak silkmoth)
Lineage: Eukaryota; Metazoa; Arthropoda; Insecta; Lepidoptera; Saturniidae
Description: tRNA-Glu
Source: RNAcentral
AUUUAUAUAGUUUAAUAAAACAUUACAUUUUCAAUGUAAAAAUAAAAUAUAAAAUUUUUAUAAGUA